GGGCCCGCACAAGCGGCGGAGCAUGCGGAUUAAUUCGAUGCAACGCGAAGAACCUUACCAAGGCUUGACAUACACCGGAAGCAUGCAGAGAUGUGUGUGCCCUUGUGGCUGGUGUACAGGUGGUGCAUGGUUGUCGUCAGCUCGUGUCGUGAGAUGUUGGGUUAAGUCCCGCAACGAGCGCAACCCUUGUCUCGUGUUGCCAGCAAUUCGGUUGGGGACUCACGAGAGACUGCCGGGGUUAACUCGGAGGAAGGUGGGGAUGACGUCAAAUCAUCAUGCCCCUUAUGUCUUGGGCUUCACGCAUGCUACAAUGGCCGGUACAGAGUGUUGCGAUACUGUGAGGUGGAGCGAAUCACUUAAAGCCGGUCUCAGUUCGGAUUGGGGUCUGCAACUCGGCCCCAUGAAGUCGGAGUCGCUAGUAAUCGCAGAUCAGCAACGCUGCGGUGAAUACGUUCUCGGGCCUU
This 464-nucleotide ribosomal RNA is filed under the name uncultured bacterium. RNAcentral describes it as "bacterial SSU rRNA". It matches the Rfam family "Bacterial small subunit ribosomal RNA", at positions 917 to 1382 of the family's 1533-position model. The record is from RNAcentral.